UUCACUUGCCCCUGGAAUUGGGCACGAAAGACAAGACUUUCUUGAGCACAAGGUCCCUCGGAACACACGAGGCUUGACCUUCUUGUCGAAUGCUUUCACCACUCUCUGCUGAUAUAACUUGACCAUGACACAUGGCAGUUGAUCUUUUCGUUCUUUCCGUCGAAUUCAGCAUUAGUCAACUUGGGACUUUGAGGGUGCUAUUUUUCUUUUGUUUUUUUUUCUUUUGAUUUUGCUUUUGAUUUUGCUUUCUUUUGAUUUCUUUUGAUUUUGCACCCUCCUCUUUCUUUUUUCUUUCUCUUUUUUUUUUGAUAAUGCCCCAGUUGGUUGUUCUGCUGAUUCUCGAGAUGCAGCUGAGUGAUCUUCUUUUCUUGCUCAAGAAGUCGGGAAAUCUCGUCAGGAAUCCCUUCAACAUCAUCUUCG
This 420-nucleotide long non-coding RNA is filed under the name Lathyrus oleraceus (garden pea). Its description in RNAcentral is "Pisum sativum (pea) long non-coding RNA (PSAT_LNC037883)". The record is from RNAcentral. Lineage: Eukaryota; Viridiplantae; Streptophyta; Magnoliopsida; Fabales; Fabaceae.